AUGAUUGUGAAAUCCAGAGAAAUAUGGGAAGACUUAUAUGAACUGAUGCAGAAGGAAAUAAGCAGACUAGAAAACUAUUUCUACAAAAACAGGAAAAGAUCAUUAAGAGGACCACUAUGAAUAAGAAAAAAAAAAACUAAUAAUGAUCUCAGUGAACAUAUAAAGAGACAAUUAUCCUUCCUUUUGGCAAAUGUGUCACCCAUCCAUCAACAACUUUCCUUUGAUCUGGCCUUUCCUCAUGAAGAUUAGUGAUUUAAUGGUGUCACUUCUGAGAAUUUCCAUUAUACAACAUUGUGUACAUGGCAAUGAAGACUACAUUCUUUGUGCUUUUCAAUCCUCAUUAUAUCCUUCCUAUAUGUAAUAUUAUGUCAUAUCUAAAUAAACUUGCUGAAGUUUGUAUUCUUAAUAUUAA
Long non-coding RNA from Sarcophilus harrisii (Tasmanian devil), 412 nucleotides. RefSeq lists it as uncharacterized. The record is from RefSeq and is a predicted model, not a curated record. Lineage: Eukaryota; Metazoa; Chordata; Mammalia; Dasyuromorphia; Dasyuridae. The transcript has 2 exons.